CCUACGGGCGGCUGCAGUGGGGAAUUUUGGACAAUGGGGGCAACCCUGAUCCAGCCAUGCCGCGUGAGUGAAGAAGGCCUUCGGGUUGUAAAGCUCUUUCAGCCGGGAAGAAAAUGCAUGGGUUAAUACCCUGUGCAGAUGACGGUACCGGAAUAAGAAGCACCGGCUAACUACGUGCCAGCAGCCGCGGUAAUACGUAGGGUGCGAGCGUUAAUCGGAAUUACUGGGCGUAAAGCGUGCGCAGGCGGUUUUGUAAGACAGGCGUGAAAUCCCCGGGCUUAACCUGGGAACUGCGUUUGUGACUGCAAGGCUAGAGUACGGCAGAGGGGGGUGGAAUUCCACGUGUAGCAGUGAAAUGCGUAGAGAUGUGGAGGAACACCAAUGGCGAAGGCAGCCCCCUGGGUCGAUACUGACGCUCAUGCACGAAAGCGUGGGUAGCAAACAGGAUUAGAUACCCCUGUAGUC
RNAcentral lists this ribosomal RNA (465 nucleotides) under uncultured Rhodocyclaceae bacterium. Its description in RNAcentral is "bacterial SSU rRNA". It matches the Rfam family "Bacterial small subunit ribosomal RNA", at positions 338 to 795 of the family's 1533-position model. Lineage: Bacteria; Pseudomonadati; Pseudomonadota; Betaproteobacteria; Rhodocyclales; Rhodocyclaceae. The record is from RNAcentral.